GAUGAAGGCCUUCGGGUUGUAAAGUUCUGAUCUUAGGGAAGAAGAAGUGACGGUACCUAAGGAGAAAGCCCCGGCUAACUACGUGCCAGCAGCCGCGGUAAUACGUAGGGGGCAAGCGUUAUCCGGAAUUAUUGGGCGUAAAGAGUGCGUAGGUGGUUACCUAAGCGUAAGGUUUAAUCGAGAGGCUCAACCUCUUCUCGCCUUGCGAACUGGGCUACUUGAGUGCUGGAGGGGAAAGCGGAAUUCCCAGUGUAGCGGUGAAAUGCGUAGAUAUUGGGAAGAACACCGGUGGCGAAGGCGGCUUUCUGGACUGUAACUGACACUGAGGCACGAAAGCGUGGGGAGCAAACAGGAUUAGAUACCCUGGUAGUCCACGCCGUAAACGAUGAGCACUAGUUGUUGGGGACGAAUGUAUUCAGUGACGCAGUUAACGCAAUAAGGGCUCCGCCUGGGGAGUACGGUGGCAACACUAACACUGAAAGGAAUUGACGGCGGCGCGCACAAGCAGCGGAGCAUGUCGUUUAAUUCGACGCAACACGAAAAACCUUACCAAGGCUUGACAUCGGAUGCAUAGCAUGGAAACAUGUGAAAUUUUGUGUAGUAAUACAUAAGACAUCCAGACAGAUGGUGCAUGGUUGUCGUCAGCUCGUGUCGUGAGAUGUUGGGUUAAGUCCCGCAACGAGCGCAACCCUUAUCAUUAGUUGCUAAUAUUAAGUUAAGGACUCUAAUGAGACUGCCGUAGAUAAUACGGAGGAAGGUGGGGAUGAUGUCAAAUCAUCAUGCCUCUUACGUCUAGGGCUACAGGCGUGCUACAAUGGCUGGUACAACGAGUUGCAACACGGUGACGUGGAGCUAAUCUCUUAAAGCCAGCCCCAGUUCGGAUUGUAGUCUGCAACUCGACUACAUGAAGUUGGAAUCGCUAGUAAUCCCGAAUCAGAAUGUCGGGGUGAAUACGUUCUCGGGUGUUGUACACACCGCCCGUCACGCCAUGGGAGUCGGUAAUACCUGAAGUCGGUAGCCAAACCUUUUAGGAUGGGGCC
This 1040-nucleotide ribosomal RNA is filed under the name uncultured Fibrobacter sp. Its description in RNAcentral is "bacterial SSU rRNA". It matches the Rfam family "Bacterial small subunit ribosomal RNA", at positions 407 to 1454 of the family's 1533-position model. Lineage: Bacteria; Pseudomonadati; Fibrobacterota; Fibrobacteria; Fibrobacterales; Fibrobacteraceae. The record is from RNAcentral.